UUAAGCUCAAAUUCACAGGGCUGUUGGUAGAUUAGCAGGUAUACAGAUGAGAAAAAUAUCAGCAGACAGAAUCAUUUUCUUCCUUCUCUCCUUAAUUUCCUUCUUUACAUGCUGGAACAGAGCUUCAGUGCUUACAAAGAGAUUUUAGAGGCCAUUCCAGAUGCUGCCUUCAUGGAAGAGGAAUCCUUAAAAUAUACUUGGUGGCCGGAUGCGGUGGCUCACGCCUGUAAUCCCAGCACUUUGGGAGGCCAAGGUGGGCGGAUCACGAGGUCGGCAGAUCGAGACCAUCUUGGCUAACACGGUGAAACCCCGUCUCUACUAAAAAUACAAAAACAAAAUUAGCUGGGCAUAGUGGCGUGCGCCUGUAGUCCCAGCUACUCGGGAGACUGAGGCUGGAGAAUGACGUGAACCCAGGAGGCGGAGCUUGCUGUGAGCCGAGAUCGUGCCACUGCACUCCAGCCUGAGUGACAGAGAAAGACUCCAUCUCAAAACAAAACAAAUAUAUA
This 506-nucleotide long non-coding RNA is filed under the name Pan paniscus (pygmy chimpanzee). Its description in RNAcentral is "lncRNA (ENSPPAG00000045469.1)". Lineage: Eukaryota; Metazoa; Chordata; Mammalia; Primates; Hominidae. The record is from RNAcentral.